AUUUGGAAAGAACUAUAGAGGAGCGUGUU
Molecule: non-coding RNA, 29 nt
Filed under: Cricetulus griseus (Chinese hamster)
Lineage: Eukaryota; Metazoa; Chordata; Mammalia; Rodentia; Cricetidae
Source: RNAcentral